UACGGAGGGUGCAAGCGUUAUCCGGAAUCACUGGGUUUAAAGGGUGCGUAGGCGGCUUGGUAAGUCAGAGGUGAAAGCCCGCAGCUUAACUGCGGAACUGCCUUUGAUACUGCCGAGCUUGAAAGAGGUUGAGGUCAGCGGAACUUGACGUGUAGCGGUGAAAUGCAUAGAUAUGUCACAGAACACCAAUUGCGAAGGCAGCUGGCUGGGCCUACUUUGACGCUGAGGCACGAAAGCGUGGGGAGCGAACACG
RNAcentral lists this ribosomal RNA (253 nucleotides) under uncultured bacterium. Its description in RNAcentral is "partial 16S ribosomal RNA". It matches the Rfam family "Bacterial small subunit ribosomal RNA", at positions 524 to 776 of the family's 1533-position model. The record is from RNAcentral.